GCCUGGCUGGCUCAGUCAGAAGAGCACGAGACUCUUGAUCUCAGGAUUGUGAGUUCAAGCCCCACACUGGGUG
RNAcentral lists this transfer RNA (73 nucleotides) under Ailuropoda melanoleuca (giant panda). It matches the Rfam family "tRNA". Rfam says of the family: Transfer RNA (tRNA) molecules are approximately 80 nucleotides in length. Their secondary structure includes four short double-helical elements and three loops (D, anti-codon, and T loops). The record is from Rfam by way of RNAcentral. Lineage: Eukaryota; Metazoa; Chordata; Mammalia; Carnivora; Ursidae.